RNAcentral lists this ribosomal RNA (429 nucleotides) under uncultured Sutterella sp. RNAcentral describes it as "bacterial SSU rRNA". It matches the Rfam family "Bacterial small subunit ribosomal RNA", at positions 355 to 776 of the family's 1533-position model. Lineage: Bacteria; Pseudomonadati; Pseudomonadota; Betaproteobacteria; Burkholderiales; Sutterellaceae. The record is from RNAcentral.
UGGGGAAUUUUGGACAAUGGGGGCAACCCUGAUCCAGCCAUGCCGCGUGCAGGAUGAAGGCCUUCGGGUUGUAAACUGCUUUUGUCAGGGACGAAAAGGACCGUGUUAAUACCAUGGUCUGCUGACGGUACCUGAAGAAUAAGCACCGGCUAACUACGUGCCAGCAGCCGCGGUAAUACGUAGGGUGCAAGCGUUAAUCGGAAUUACUGGGCGUAAAGCGUGCGCAGGCGGUUCUGUAAGACAGAUGUGAAAUCCCCGGGCUUAACCUGGGAAUUGCAUUUGUGACUGCAGGACUAGAGUUCAUCAGAGGGGGGUGGAAUUCCAAGUGUAGCAGUGAAAUGCGUAGAUAUUUGGAAGAACACCAAUGGCGAAGGCAGCCCCCUGGGAUGCGACUGACGCUCAUGCACGAAAGCGUGGGGAGCAAACAGG